This 485-nucleotide ribosomal RNA is filed under the name uncultured bacterium. RNAcentral describes it as "partial 16S ribosomal RNA". It matches the Rfam family "Bacterial small subunit ribosomal RNA", at positions 28 to 507 of the family's 1533-position model. The record is from RNAcentral.
GAUGAACGCUAGCGCUAGGCUUAACACAUGCAAGUCGAGGGGCAGCGAGGGUAGCAAUACCUGUCGGCGACCGGCGCACGGGUGAGUAACGCGUAUGUAACCUGCCCGCAACAGGGGGAUAACCCGGCGAAAGUCGGACUAAUACCGCAUAAAACAGGGGUCCCGCAUGGGAAUAUUUGUUAAAGAUUUAUCGGUUGCGGAUGGGCAUGCGUACCAUUAGGUAGUUGGUGAGGUAACGGCUCACCAAGCCUUCGAUGGUUAGGGGUUCUGAGAGGAAGGUCCCCCACACUGGUACUGAGACACGGACCAGACUCCUACGGGAGGCAGCAGUGAGGAAUAUUGGUCAAUGGGCGAGAGCCUGAACCAGCCAAGUCGCGUGAAGGAUGACUGCCCUAUGGGUUGUAAACUUCUUUUACAAGGGAAUAAAAUGAGAUACGUGUAUUUUAUUGCAUGUACCUUGGGAAUAAGCAUCGGCUAACUCCGUG